AAAUGAAUUGACGGGGGCCCGCACAAGCGGUGGAGCAUGUGGUUUAAUUCGAUGAUACGCGAGGAACCUUACCAGGGCUUAAAUGUAGUAUGACAGGUUUAGAGAUAGACUUUCCUUCGGGCAUAUUGCAAGGUGCUGCAUGGUUGUCGUCAGCUCGUGCCGUGAGGUGUCAGGUUAAGUCCUAUAACGAGCGCAACCCCUGUUGUUAGUUGCCAGCGAGUCAUGUCGGGGACUCUAGCAAGACUGCCGGUGCAAACCGCGAGGAAGGUGGGGACGACGUCAAAUCAUCACGGCCCUUACGCCCUGGGCCACACACGUGCUACAAUGGCCGGUACAGAGAGCAGCCAUGCCGCAAGGCAGAGCGAAUCUACAAAACCGGUCACAGUUCGGAUCGGGGCCUGCAACUCGGCCCCGUGAAGCUGGAAUCGCUAGUAAUCGGAUAUCAGCCAUGAUCCGGUGAAUACGUUCCCGGGCCUUGUACACACCGCCCGU
RNAcentral lists this ribosomal RNA (492 nucleotides) under uncultured bacterium. RNAcentral describes it as "bacterial SSU rRNA". It matches the Rfam family "Bacterial small subunit ribosomal RNA", at positions 903 to 1397 of the family's 1533-position model. The record is from RNAcentral.